RNAcentral lists this ribosomal RNA (200 nucleotides) under uncultured prokaryote. RNAcentral describes it as "partial 16S ribosomal RNA". It matches the Rfam family "Bacterial small subunit ribosomal RNA", at positions 1184 to 1382 of the family's 1533-position model. The record is from RNAcentral.
GUCAAAUCAUCAUGCCCCUUAUGUCCUGGGCUACACACGUACUACAAUGGCGAUUUAACAAUGGGAAGCCAAGGCGCGAGCCGGAGCAAAUCCCCAAAAAUCGUCCCAGUUCGGAUUGUAGGCUGAAACUCGCCUGCAUGAAGUUGGAAUUGCUAGUAAUCGCGAAUCAGCAUGUCGCGGUGAAUACGUUCCCGGGCCUU